This 498-nucleotide ribosomal RNA is filed under the name uncultured bacterium. Its description in RNAcentral is "partial 16S ribosomal RNA". It matches the Rfam family "Bacterial small subunit ribosomal RNA", at positions 28 to 507 of the family's 1533-position model. The record is from RNAcentral.
GACGAACGCUGGCGGCAUGCCUAAUACAUGCAAGUUGAACGAUGAUAUUCUCUGCUUGCAGAGAAUUGAAGAGUAGCGAACGGGUGAGUAACACGUGGGGAACCUGCCCAUGAGAGGGGGAUAACAUUCGGAAACGGAUGCUAAUACCGCAUAAUGCUUUGGACCGCCUGGUCCAGAGACGAAAGACGGCUUUUGCUGUCACUCAUGGAUGGCCCCGCGCCGUAUUAGCUAGUUGGUGAGGUAAUGGCUCACCAAAGCUGUGAUACGUAGCCGACCUGAGAGGGUGAUCGGCCACACUGGGACUGAGACACGGCCCAGACUCCUACGGGAGGCAGCAGUAGAGAAUCUUCCACAAUGGGCGAAAGCCUGAUGGAGCAAUGCCGCGUGAAUGAAGAAGGUCUUCGGAUCGUAAAGUUCUGUUAUUAGAGAAGAACAAGUCAAGGAGUAACUGUCUUGACUUUGACGGUACCUAACCAGAAAGUCACGGCUAACUACGUG